ACAUGCUUAUAUUAUAGCGUUAAUGCACCGGAUCCCAUUAAAACUACGCAGAUAAGCACACUCGGGAUAGAGUAGUAUUGGGAUGGGUGACUACCUGGGAAUUCCUAGUGUUUUACAUGCC
Molecule: non-coding RNA, 121 nt
Organism: Picea glauca (white spruce)
Lineage: Eukaryota; Viridiplantae; Streptophyta; Pinopsida; Pinales; Pinaceae
Source: Rfam